RNAcentral lists this ribosomal RNA (253 nucleotides) under uncultured bacterium. Its description in RNAcentral is "partial 16S ribosomal RNA". It matches the Rfam family "Bacterial small subunit ribosomal RNA", at positions 524 to 776 of the family's 1533-position model. The record is from RNAcentral.
UACGUAGGGUGCGAGCGUUGUCCGGAAUUAUUGGGCGUAAAGGGCUCGUAGGCGGUUUGUCGCGUCGGGAGUGAAAUCCACUGGCUUAACUGGUGGCUUGCUUUCGAUACGGGCAGACUGGAGGUAUGCAGGGGAGAACGGAAUUCCUGGUGUAGCGGUGAAAUGCGCAGAUAUCAGGAGGAACACCGGUGGCGAAGGCGGUUCUCUGGGCCAUUACUGACGCUGAGGAGCGAAAGUGUGGGGAGCAAACAGG